Molecule: transfer RNA, 74 nt
Filed under: Rhodopseudomonas sp. P2A-2r
Lineage: Bacteria; Pseudomonadati; Pseudomonadota; Alphaproteobacteria; Hyphomicrobiales; Nitrobacteraceae
Description: tRNA-Gln
Rfam family: tRNA
About the family: Transfer RNA (tRNA) molecules are approximately 80 nucleotides in length. Their secondary structure includes four short double-helical elements and three loops (D, anti-codon, and T loops). Further hydrogen bonds mediate the characteristic L-shaped molecular structure. tRNAs have two regions of fundamental functional importance: the anti-codon, which is responsible for specific mRNA codon recognition, and the 3' end, to which the tRNAs corresponding amino acid is attached (by aminoacyl-tRNA synthetases). tRNAs cope with the degeneracy of the genetic code in two manners: having more than one tRNA (with a specific anti-codon) for a particular amino acid; and 'wobble' base-pairing, i.e. permitting non-standard base-pairing at the 3rd anti-codon position.
Source: RNAcentral
UGGGGCGUAGCCAAGUGGUAAGGCAGGGGAUUUUGAUUCCCCCAUUCGGAGGUUCGAUCCUCCCGCCCCAGCCA